Molecule: ribosomal RNA, 815 nt
Filed under: Homonota taragui
Lineage: Eukaryota; Metazoa; Chordata; Lepidosauria; Squamata; Phyllodactylidae
Description: partial 12S ribosomal RNA
Rfam family: Bacterial small subunit ribosomal RNA
Source: RNAcentral
CUAGGCCAGGAGACGAUAUCAGGCACGCGCAAUUUAAAGCCAAGCCCAUGACAUCUAGCCCCGCCACACCCCCCAGGACUUCAGCAGUGAUAGACAUUAAGCAAUGGGCCCAAACAUAAGCCCGACUUAGCUACGGCCACACAAAGCGUCGGCAAACUUCGUGCCAGCCGCCGCGGUUACACGAAGGACUCGAAACAAUACUAACGGCAUAAAACGUGACUAGAACACCUUCCCCCCGGAAACUCACAACCCUGGUAUAGCUGUAAAACGCACAUACACACUGGAACCCCCAACGAUUUUCCACCAAAGACUUUGACUCACGAAAACCGGGGCCUAAACUAGGAUUAGAUACCCUACUAUACCCGGUCGUAAACCAAGAUGGUUCAACCAUACCCCCAUCUGCCCGAGAAUUACAAGUGAAAAACUUAAAACUCUAAGGACUUGACGGUGCCCCACACCAGCCUAGAGGAGCCUGUCCUGUAAUCGAUACUCCACGCUCCACCUCACCCCCCCUUGUAUAAAACCCGCCUAUAUACCGCCGUCGCCAGCCCACCUACUGAUAGAGACAGAAGUCGGCACAAUAGCACCCCGCUAACACGUCAGGUCAAGGUGUAGCCAAUGGGGGGGGCUAAGAUGGGCUACAUUUGCUAACCCAUAGCAAACCCCACAGAAAGCCCCAUGAAACAGGGGCCAACAGGCGGAUUUAGCAGUAAACUCCGGGCAAGACCUGCCCACUUGAACACCGCUCUGGGGCGCGUACACACCGCCCGUCACCCUCCUCAACCCCACACCAAAUCACCCUUAAAUAACACCAC